CCUACGGGGGGCAGCAGUGGGGAAUAUUGGACAAUGGGGGCAACCCUGAUCCAGCCAUGCCGCAUGUGUGAAGAAGGCCCUCGGGUUGUAAAGCACUUUCAGUGAGGAAGAACGCCUGGUGGUUAAUACCCAUCAGGAAAGACAUCACUCACAGAAGAAGCACCGGCUAACUCCGUGCCAGCAGCCGCGGUAAUACGGAGGGUGCGAGCGUUAAUCGGAAUUACUGGGCGUAAAGCGCGCGUAGGUGGCUUGAUAAGCCGGUUGUGAAAGCCCCGGGCUCAACCUGGGAACGGCAUCCGGAACUGUCAAGCUAGAGUGCAGGAGAGGAAGGUAGAAUUCCCGGUGUAGCGGUGAAAUGCGUAGAGAUCGGGAGGAAUACCAGUGGCGAAGGCGGCCUUCUGGACUGACACUGACACUGAGGUGCGAAAGCGUGGGUAGCAAACAGGAUUAGAUACCCCAGUAGUC
Molecule: ribosomal RNA, 465 nt
Filed under: Vreelandella stevensii
Lineage: Bacteria; Pseudomonadati; Pseudomonadota; Gammaproteobacteria; Oceanospirillales; Halomonadaceae
Description: partial 16S ribosomal RNA
Rfam family: Bacterial small subunit ribosomal RNA
Source: RNAcentral